UAGGGAAUCUUGCGCAAUGGACGAAAGUCUGACGCAGCAACGCCAUGUGUGGGAUGAAGCAUUUCGGUGUGUAAACCACUGUCGGCAGGGAAUAAAGCCUCGCUUUAUGCGAGGGGUGAAUGUACCUGCAGAGGAAGCCCCGGCUAACUUCGUGCCAGCAGCCGCGGUAAUACGAGGGGGGCUAGUGUUGUUCGGAAUCACUGGGCGUAAAGGGAGCGUAGGCGGGCGCUUGUGUUGGAUGUUUAAAACCGGGGCCCAACCCCGGCGCGGCAUUCAAAACUGGGCGUCUUGAAUGGGACAGAGGCCAGUGGAAUUGGAGGUGUAGCGGUGGAAUGCGUAGAGAUCUCCAAGAACACCAGUUGCGAAGGCGGCUGGCUGGGUCCACAUUGACGCUGAGGCUCGAAAGCGUGGGGAGCAAACAGGAUUAGAUACCCCCGUAGUCC
This 443-nucleotide ribosomal RNA is filed under the name uncultured bacterium. RNAcentral describes it as "bacterial SSU rRNA". It matches the Rfam family "Bacterial small subunit ribosomal RNA", at positions 355 to 796 of the family's 1533-position model. The record is from RNAcentral.